CCUACCCUUAAGCAGGAGGUUCUGGGACUGUAAGCUGAAGAAUGAAAUCAACCUUUCCCUCCCCAAGUUGCUUUUGGUCAUGGAAUUUAUUACAGAAACAGAACACAAAUGAGAACCACUGGCUGCCACCCACCCCAUCGCUAAGAAUGCCAUCAGGUAGCAUCUAUGGCAGAGGCCUCCUGCUUCACUGGAACCACCCCCUGGCACUCUCCUAACAUACCUGAAAACUGCCUUGUGCUAUGGCUUUCUUUGUUCUGUUGCUGUGCAGUGCGACCAGCGUAUCGCACUCCUGCUGCUGUGCCUUCGCCGUCAUGAUGGACUGUCCCCUCAAAGUGUGAGCUCAAUACGCCCUUCCUUAAGUUUCUUCUGCCAGACAAUUUGUCACAGCGAUGAGAUGCUAAUACAAUCAUCA
This is a long non-coding RNA of Peromyscus leucopus (white-footed mouse), 412 nucleotides long. RefSeq lists it as uncharacterized. The transcript is spliced from 2 exons. The record is from RefSeq and is a predicted model, not a curated record. NCBI's taxonomy places the organism in Eukaryota, Metazoa, Chordata, Mammalia, Rodentia, Cricetidae.